This 598-nucleotide long non-coding RNA is filed under the name Zea mays. Its description in RNAcentral is "long non-coding RNA (ZMAY_LNC005043)". The record is from RNAcentral. Lineage: Eukaryota; Viridiplantae; Streptophyta; Magnoliopsida; Poales; Poaceae.
UAUAUAUAUUUUACAGAGUUCAAGUAAAAGAUCAUGUCUUGCAAAUAUUGAAAUCAAUGAACUGAAAAAAAAAACCCGCCUCACUGACAUCAGUUAUGUGGCAUGUUACUUGUUGACUUCAACCACUUGACAUGUUCCUUGAAUAAAGAAAUGAUUUCUUAUAGGAAAAUAAGACCCCAAGAUUUGCCAUGGUAGGGGCUUGUGUGUUAAAACAUGUUGAUCAAAAUAUUUUUCCUAUCUUAUAUUGUAAUGAGAUCUUUUUUAGAAAAAGAUGUAGCAAUGAGUUCACAUUGGAUAAAUUAAACAAUAUCAAACUGGUGAACGGAAAUUCAUGGAGAGACUAUCGAUUUGACUCAGUUUUGGUGAUAAAUUAGCAAUGUCCACAAUCUCUACAAACCUUGUGAUCAACCUGCAUCAGGAAAAGAGUGCUAACUCAAUUUAUCAGAGUGCUAACUUUCCCGUUAUUUUUUCUUAUUGCCAGGAUGGAAGAAUUAAUUACCAGGAGUUUGUUGCCAUGAUGAGGAACAACAGCCCUGAGAUUGUUCCAAAUCGGAGGCGCAUGUUCUAACUGUCAUGGACAAUCACAUUGAAUACUUUC